UUCCUCGUAGUAUAAUGGCUAGUAUCUCAGCUUGUCACGUUGAAGAUCCGGGUUCAAUCCCCGGCGAGGAAG
Molecule: transfer RNA, 72 nt
Organism: Thecamonas trahens ATCC 50062
Lineage: Eukaryota; Apusomonadida; Apusomonadidae
Rfam family: tRNA
About the family: Transfer RNA (tRNA) molecules are approximately 80 nucleotides in length. Their secondary structure includes four short double-helical elements and three loops (D, anti-codon, and T loops).
Source: Rfam